RNAcentral lists this ribosomal RNA (406 nucleotides) under uncultured bacterium. RNAcentral's name for it is "partial 16S ribosomal RNA". It matches the Rfam family "Bacterial small subunit ribosomal RNA", at positions 30 to 526 of the family's 1533-position model. The record is from RNAcentral.
AUUGAACGCUGGCGGCAGGCCUAACACAUGCAAGUCGAACGACUGGCGGACGGGUGAGUAAUGUCUGGGAAACUGCCUGAUGGAGGGGGAUAACUACUGGAAACGGUAGCUAAUACCGCAUACCAUCGGAUGUGCCCAGAUGGGAUGAGCUAGUAGGUGGGGGAACGGCUCACCUAGGCGACGAGCCAUAGCUGGUCUGAGAGGAGGACCAGCUACACUGGAACUUAGAAACGGUCCAGCUUCCUACGGGAGGCAGCAGGGGGGAAUAUUGCACAAGUGGCGCAAGCCUGAUGCAGCCAUGCCGCGUGUAUGAAGAAGGCCUUCGGGUUGUAAAGUACUUUACGCGGGGAGGCGUUACCCGCAGAAGAAGCACCGGCUAACUCCGUGCCAGCAGCCGCGGUAAUAC